GACGAACGCUGGCGGCGUGCUUAACACAUGCAAGUCGAACGGUGAAGUGCCUUCCGUUUUGGUGGGUGUGGAGGCGUGGCGAACGGGUGAGUAACACGUGAGUAACCUGCCCCCUUCUUCGGGAUAACCGCAUGAAAGUGUGGCUAAUACGGGAUAUUCUGGGUCUGUCGCAUGAUGGGUCUGGGAAAGAUAUUGUUUCGGUGGGGGAUGGGCUCGCGGCCUAUCAGCUUGUUGGUGGGGUGAUGGCCUACCGAGGCGGUGACGGGUAGCCGGCCUGAGAGGGUUGACUAGCCGACCUGGGAUGGGGCACGGCCAAACCUGGAACGAGAGACAGCAGAGACGAAUACGGGACGAAGGAGGGGGGAAUAAUGCAGCAUGGCCGCGUGAGUGAUGGAGGGCUUCGGGUUGAGAGCCUCAUUCGCCAGUGAAGCAAGCCUGCCUCGUUUGUGAGUGGAUUGACGGUAGCUGGAUAAGAAGCGCCGGCUAAAUACGUG
RNAcentral lists this ribosomal RNA (494 nucleotides) under uncultured bacterium. RNAcentral's name for it is "partial 16S ribosomal RNA". It matches the Rfam family "Bacterial small subunit ribosomal RNA", at positions 28 to 507 of the family's 1533-position model. The record is from RNAcentral.